RNAcentral lists this ribosomal RNA (330 nucleotides) under uncultured eukaryote. Its description in RNAcentral is "partial 18S ribosomal RNA". It matches the Rfam family "Eukaryotic small subunit ribosomal RNA", at positions 1470 to 1796 of the family's 1831-position model. The record is from RNAcentral.
CCCUUAGAUGUUCUGGGCCGCACGCGCGCUACACUGAUGCAUUCAGCGAGUCUAAAACCUGGUCUGAUAGGGCUGGGUAAUCUUUUGAAUGUGCAUCGUGAUUGGGAUAGAUGAUUGCAAUUCUUCAUCUUCAACAAGGAAUGCCUAGUAAACGCAAGUCAUCAGCUUGCAUUGAUUACGUCCCUGCCCUUUGUACACACCGCCCGUCGCUCCUACCGAUUGAAUGUUCCGAUGAAUACCAUGGACUGAGAGUAUGAAUGGGUUCGCCUAUUUCUGCUUCUCGGGAAGUGGAGUAAAUCUUAACAUUUAGAGGAAGGAGAAGUCGUAACA